GCGAGAGGGGUGCGGCGCGGCGUCCGGCUGGUCCUGGUGGGCACUCUCAGCAGAUGCAGGCUCCAGACCCGGUGGCUCUUGCGUGAUGGGACUUUCAGAACUGCAUGAAAUCCAUUAUGUGAACUAUGAAGUAAAUCAUUUAUUCGGUAAA
Molecule: long non-coding RNA, 151 nt
Organism: Suricata suricatta (meerkat)
Lineage: Eukaryota; Metazoa; Chordata; Mammalia; Carnivora; Herpestidae
Exons: 2
Source: RefSeq, a predicted model, not a curated record